This 438-nucleotide unclassified non-coding RNA is filed under the name Hevea brasiliensis (rubber tree). Lineage: Eukaryota; Viridiplantae; Streptophyta; Magnoliopsida; Malpighiales; Euphorbiaceae. The record is from RNAcentral.
UCUUCAGCCACCCUCUUGGCCACAGACAUUGCAGCCACCCGACGAGGCUGAGUACAUCCAAUCUUACCCUUCGUGGUAUAACCUGCCUCGGCAAGAUACUGUGUCACCUGGGUAGUCUUACCUGAGCCUGUCUCACCAAUAACUACCAGAACCUGAUUAUCAUGGACAGCUUGAAUUAGCUCUUUUUUCAAUUUAUAGAUUGGCAAGCUCUGCCUCUGCUCCUGAAUGGAUAACUUUGAUCUUUGCCCAAAUGUUAAAGCUUUUCCAAAUGCAUCCUUCUUCCACUCAGGCAUGUCAUAAGCCGAUAAACCAACUCCUCUAAGCUCCUGAGCGAGAUGCCUCUCACCAGUCUCAGGCAUUGGGUCUUCCCAAGGACGAUUAAGAUCCUUCGGUAUUGAAUCAAGCAUCGUCCUCUGCUGUUGUUCCCUUACUUCCCUC